This 1837-nucleotide long non-coding RNA is filed under the name Hordeum vulgare. RNAcentral's name for it is "long non-coding RNA (HVUL_LNC003984)". The record is from RNAcentral. Lineage: Eukaryota; Viridiplantae; Streptophyta; Magnoliopsida; Poales; Poaceae.
GGCUGGAUCUCUUGAUCCCUAGUGGUGCUCCCUGUAGGCCUCCUCUUCCACGACAUGGAUCCGCGGCCACCUCGUCCCUGUAGUUGUUCCCUGGCCGCCUCCUGGUUAGCCAUGGCCAUACUCAAAUAUCCUAUGCCCCUCCUGGUCACUGUUAGAACUUUAGAACAUGGGUGCACUUAUAUUUAUGCAUCAGGAUUUAUUAACUUUUAUACAAAUUGUAGGAAUAUACUACAGUUAGUGGAUUUUUUUUCCACAAAUUGUAGGACUAUACUAGUGUUUAGCACUUUCUAAUUUUUAUACAAGUUUUGUACCUGUAGCACUUUAAUUUGGCACUUUGUCUUUUAUUUGGAAACUCUGUCAUGGCACUUUGUUCAACAUCCAUUUGUUUAUGUUGCCAUGUAAUCUGGAUGAUUACUAAGGCGUAAUUUUAGUUAAUUAACCUUGGUACUUUGUUAUUUACAUUGCCAGUCUGUUAUACAACACAAAAUACAAAUGAAUAAAUCUUAACACCUACAUGUUUUAUUUGCUCCCAUGAUCACUUCUUGGCUGAUCCACAUACAAGUUGAGGAGGCGCGGUCAAGGCUGGGAGGAAAGGCGGGUUGUCAUCAUCGCCAAACUGGGAGCUCUGCGCUUUGACCGUUCUCACUUUAUUUAUGGAUUGGCUGAAGCUUCUGAACAGUAUUUAGUUAUUUCUUUCUUAUAUUUUCACUUUCAACACUACUCCUGAAGCUUCUGAACAGGUUUUAGCUAUUUCUCUCUUAUAUUUUCACUUUCAACACCAAUUCAUUGCCUGAAGCUUGCAUAGUAUUAAUAAUUGCUUGCUAUUCAUUAUUGCCUGAAGCGAGAGAACAAUUUAGUUAUUUCUCCGGUAAUUGAUAGUUGCUCAUGGAGUUUUUCUUCUCUUUUCCCCUUUGUCGAAGAUAUGUCAUAGCAUCAGUUCUUCCCCUUUUAUUAUAUGCUAUCAGUGUUAUAUCUACAUGUAGCGUCCGGGAAUACUACGUACGCUGGGUUGAGCAACCCUUCCCCACAUAGUGUUCUAUAAAAAAUAAGGCAUCCAUCUAAUUCUACAUGACAACCUUCCAACAUGAGGUAACAUCAUUUGUGGCAUGGGUAUAUCUUAUAUCUACUAACUAUCACGUCUAGAUAUUAGCGUUACCAAGUGUAUACAUCUAUAUUGCCAAUGCGUCUGCACUUUCGAUAAUUAGUCAAUAUUUUCAUGUAUUUGUUACAACAGUAUCGUCUUAGCAAGCGUGUUGUCUUGUAAAAAUUUGAUGAUUGCAUCUGCACUUCGUAUCUAAGGUUCUUACGAUAAUUAGCCAAUAUUUUCAUGUAUUUGUAGAUGCACGAACUGUUUGCUAAUUUCAGCUUUGUUCUUCAUUACUGCAGGGCAUAUCUAUAUUCUAAGGAAAAAUUAGUGCACCUGGUAAUUCUUUCUUGACAUGGCUAUUCUAUCGAGGUUUAAUUCUAUGAUACACAACUAAUAGUUUGUUGGUAUGCAUAACUAUCUUGCCAAAGAUUUUGCCUGUGUAUAUCACUUCAUAGUUGAAAGUGUUUGCUGCAAUCAUUAUGAGCAUAAAAAAUAGUGUAGAACUCUACUUGCUACUACCAUCAACUCUCAAUGAGUCAGUGAUGGACAGGAUUAUCUCUCAUGUAUUUGAACAAUGCAUUCAGGGUCUAUUGAUAGAUGCGUUAAUUUGUUUUUUUAUCACUCCUUUCUGCCACCAAUGUUUUUACAUCCAAAUGAAGUACACUAUUCUUAUACAGUCUUAGAAUAUUUUGAUUUUUUUAAUGAUCACUUAAAUAAAUAAAUAUCGACGGUUAUGGGAGGGGGAGGCGG